AGCGAACGCUGGCGGCAGGCCUAACACAUGCAAGUCGAACGAACCUUUCGGGGUUAGUGGCGGACGGGUGAGUAACACGUGGGAACGUGCCUUUAGGUUCGGAAUAACUCAGGGAAACUUGUGCUAAUACCGAAUGUGCCCUUCGGGGGAAAGAUUUAUCGCCUUUAGAGCGGCCCGCGUCUGAUUAGCUAGUUGGUUGAGGUAAUGGCUCACCAAGGCGACGAUCAGUAGCUGGUCUGAGAGGAUGAUCAGCGACAUUGGGACUGAGACACGGCCCAAACUCCUACGGGAGGCAGCAGUGGGGAAUCUUGCGCAAUGGGCGAGAGCCUGACGCAGCCAUGCCGCGUGAAUGAUGAAGGUCUUAGGAUUGUAAAAUUCUUUCACCGGGGACGAUAAUGACGGUACCCGGAGAAGAAGCCCCGGCUAACUUCGUG
RNAcentral lists this ribosomal RNA (434 nucleotides) under uncultured bacterium. RNAcentral's name for it is "partial 16S ribosomal RNA". It matches the Rfam family "Bacterial small subunit ribosomal RNA", at positions 29 to 507 of the family's 1533-position model. The record is from RNAcentral.